AAACUUUCAACAAAGGAUCUCUUGGCUCUCGCAUCGAUGAAGAACGUAGCAAAGCGCGAAAUGUAGUGUGAAUUGCAGAACAUUGUGAAUCAUCGAAUCUUUGAACGCACAUUGCACCUCUCGUGAGGGAGGUAUGCCUGUCUGAGCGUCACCUAAA
RNAcentral lists this ribosomal RNA (157 nucleotides) under uncultured Ascomycota. RNAcentral describes it as "5.8S ribosomal RNA". It matches the Rfam family "5.8S ribosomal RNA". Rfam says of the family: 5.8S ribosomal RNA (5.8S rRNA) is a component of the large subunit of the eukaryotic ribosome. It is transcribed by RNA polymerase I as part of the 45S precursor that also contains 18S and 28S rRNA. The record is from RNAcentral. Lineage: Eukaryota; Fungi; Ascomycota.